This 196-nucleotide ribosomal RNA is filed under the name uncultured Leptolinea sp. Its description in RNAcentral is "partial 16S ribosomal RNA". It matches the Rfam family "Bacterial small subunit ribosomal RNA", at positions 1189 to 1382 of the family's 1533-position model. Lineage: Bacteria; Bacillati; Chloroflexota; Anaerolineae; Anaerolineales; Anaerolineaceae. The record is from RNAcentral.
GUCAGCAUGGCCUUUAUGUCCUGGGCUACACACACGCUACAAUGGCCAACACAAUAGGUUGCUAAGCCGCGAGGUGGAGCCAAUCCUCAAAGUUGGUCUCAGUUCAGAUUGCAGGCUGCUAACCCGCCUGCAUGAAGAUGGAGUUGCUAGUAACCGCAGGUCAGCUAUACUGCGGUGAAUACGUUCCCGGGGCCUU